AUUGAACGCUGGCGGCAGGCCUAACACAUGCAAGUCGAGCGGAUGAAGGGAGCUUGCUCCUGGAUUCAGCGGCGGACGGGUGAGUAAUGCCUAGGAAUCUGCCUGGUAGUGGGGGAUAACGUCCGGAAACGGCCGCUAUUACGGCAUACUACCGGAGGGAGAAGGUGGGGGUUCUUCGGACCUCACGUUAUCAGUGGAGCCUAGGUCGGAUUAGCUAGUUGGUGGGGUAAAGGCCUACCAAGCCGACGAUCCGUAACUGGUCUGAGAGGAUGAUCAGUCACACUGGAACUGAGACACGGUCCAGACUCCUACGGGAGGCAGCAGUGGGGAAUAUUGGACAAUGGGCGAAAGCCUGAUCCAGCCAUGCCGCGUGUGUGAAGAAGGUCUUCGGAUUGUAAAGCACUUUAAGUUGGGAGGAAGGGCAGUAAGUUAAUACCUUGCUGUUUUGACGUUACCAACAGAAUAAGCACCGGCUAACUUCGUG
Molecule: ribosomal RNA, 484 nt
Filed under: uncultured bacterium
Lineage: Bacteria
Description: partial 16S ribosomal RNA
Rfam family: Bacterial small subunit ribosomal RNA
Source: RNAcentral